CAAUACGAGAGUAUCCUAGUGGCGAACGGGUGAGUAACGCGUUGGUGACCUACCCCAAAGUGUGGGAUAACAGUCCGAAAGGAUUGCUAAUACCGCAUGUGGUUAUCGGAUUUAGAAACCGGUAACUAAAGGAGCAAUUCGCUUUGGGAGGGACCUGCGUCCCAUCAGCUAGUUGGUGAGGUAAUGGCUCACCAAGGCGACGACGGGUAGGGGACCUGAGAGGGUGGCCCCCCACAAUGGAACUGAAACACGGUCCAUACACCUACGGGUGGCAGCAGUAGGGAAUAUUGCACAAUGGGCGAAAGCCUGAUGCAGCAACGCCGCGUGUGUGAUGAAGGCCUUCGGGUCGUAAAGCACUUUUCUGGGAGAUGAGAAAGGACAGUAUCCCAGGAAUAAGUCUCGGCUAACUACGUGCCAGCAGCCGCGGUAAAACGUAGGAGGCGAGCGUUAUCCGGAUUCACUGGGCGUAAAGCGCGUGCAGGUGGCGCGGUAAGUUGGGCGUGAAAUCUCCCGGCUCAACUGGGAGAGGUCGUCCAAUACUACCGUGCUUGAGAGCAGAAGAGGAAGAUGGAAUUCCCGGUGUAGUGGUGAAAUGCGUAGAUAUCGGGAGGAACACCAGUGGCGAAGGCGAUCUUCUGGUCUGUUUCUGACACUCAGACGCGACAGCUAGGGUAGUAAACGGGAUUAGAGACCCCGGUAAUCCUAGCCGU
Molecule: ribosomal RNA, 710 nt
Filed under: uncultured bacterium
Lineage: Bacteria
Description: bacterial SSU rRNA
Rfam family: Bacterial small subunit ribosomal RNA
Source: RNAcentral